RNAcentral lists this ribosomal RNA (253 nucleotides) under uncultured bacterium. RNAcentral describes it as "partial 16S ribosomal RNA". It matches the Rfam family "Bacterial small subunit ribosomal RNA", at positions 524 to 776 of the family's 1533-position model. The record is from RNAcentral.
UACAGGGGGUGCAAACGUUGCUCGGAAUCAUUGGGCGUAAAGCGCACGUAGGCGGUUCGUUAUGUCGGAUGUGAAAGCCCUUGGCUUAACCGGGGAAGUGCAUCCGAAACUGGCGAGCUAGAGUACGAAAGAGGAUCGCGGAAUUCCCGGUGUAGAGGUGAAAUUCGUAGAUAUCGGGAGGAACACCGGUGGCGAAGGCGGCGAUCUGGGUCGAUACUGACGCUGAGGCACGAAAGCGUGGGGAGCAAACAGG